RNAcentral lists this ribosomal RNA (326 nucleotides) under Salmonella enterica. RNAcentral describes it as "partial 23S ribosomal RNA". It matches the Rfam family "Bacterial large subunit ribosomal RNA", at positions 195 to 559 of the family's 2925-position model. RNAcentral also lists the same sequence under 4 other names. Lineage: Bacteria; Pseudomonadati; Pseudomonadota; Gammaproteobacteria; Enterobacterales; Enterobacteriaceae. The record is from RNAcentral.
GAAACAUCUAAGUACCCCGAGGAAAAGAAAUCAACCGAGAUUCCCCCAGUAGCGGCGAGCGAACGGGGAGGAGCCCAGAGCCUGAAUCAGCAUGUGUGUUAGUGGAAGCGUCUGGAAAGGCGCGCGAUACAGGGUGACAGCCCCGUACACAAAAGCGCAUGUGCUGUGAGCUCGAUGAGUAGGGCGGGACACGUGGUAUCCUGUCUGAAUAUGGGGGGACCAUCCUCCAAGGCUAAAUACUCCUGACUGACCGAUAGUGAACCAGUACCGUGAGGGAAAGGCGAAAAGAACCCCGGCGAGGGGAGUGAAAAAGAACCUGAAACCGU